GGUAACUUGCUUAACUAUGAACUUGGUUCGAUGACAGAAGAGAGAGAGUACAACCCGCCAUUAGCUAAAGAGUCUUUGCUUUUGUUGGGAGUGUGCUCUCUCUUCUCCUGUCAUUGAGUUAUUUUUAUUUGUCAUUUAAUUAUUUG
Molecule: microRNA precursor, 146 nt
Filed under: Citrus sinensis (sweet orange)
Lineage: Eukaryota; Viridiplantae; Streptophyta; Magnoliopsida; Sapindales; Rutaceae
Description: miR156f stem-loop (csi-MIR156f)
Gene: csi-MIR156f
Source: miRBase by way of RNAcentral